ACGCACGCUGGCGGCAGGCCUCACCCAUGCAAGUCGCGCGAGGACUUCGGUUCUAGCGGCGGACGGGUGAGUCACGCGUGGGAAUGUGCCCUUCUCUACGGAAUAGCCCUGGGAAACUGGGAGUAAUACCGUAUACGCCCUAUUGGGGAAAGAUUUAUCGGAGAAGGAUCAGCCCGCGUUGGAUUAGGUAGUUGGUGGGGUAAUGGCCUACCAAGCCGACGAUCCAUAGCUGGUUUGAGAGGAUGAUCAGCCACACUGGGACUGAGACACGGCCCAGACUCCUACGGGAGGCAGCAGUGGGGAAUCUUAGACAAUGGGGGCAACCCUGAUCUAGCCAUGCCGCGUGAGUGAUGAAGGCCUUAGGGUUGUAAAGCUCUUUCAGCUGGGAAGAUAAUGACGGUACCAGCAGAAGAAGCCCCGGCUAACUCCGUG
RNAcentral lists this ribosomal RNA (432 nucleotides) under uncultured bacterium. RNAcentral's name for it is "partial 16S ribosomal RNA". It matches the Rfam family "Bacterial small subunit ribosomal RNA", at positions 29 to 507 of the family's 1533-position model. The record is from RNAcentral.